Arvicola amphibius (Eurasian water vole) is the source of this 2379-nucleotide long non-coding RNA. RefSeq lists it as uncharacterized. The transcript is spliced from 5 exons. The record is from RefSeq and is a predicted model, not a curated record. NCBI's taxonomy places the organism in Eukaryota, Metazoa, Chordata, Mammalia, Rodentia, Cricetidae.
AGCUCUGGAUUCUACUCUAGGGAACGCUUCCAGUUUUUCUAAUUAUUUUUGGGUUUUGCUUGAGAUAGCUCAAUGUGACUUGAAGGCGAGCAUACUUUUAAUUCAAAAACCUGUGUUGACUGAUUAAUAUCUUUCCCUUGUGACAGUAAUACAUAAUUCCCUUUUCCUUGCAGUGUGAUGCUUUAGUUCAAUCACUUGAGGUCCGUCCUGGGACUUUUCCCACUGGAGGAGAAAAGUGGGAGGUUAGGUAAGAGCCACACCACUAGGCAACUCAGAGAGACAAUAGUUUAGUUAUCUGAUGUUGGGAGUUGAGGAGCGGCUCUAGAAUCUUCCGUUCCCAUCUCUUCAGAUCUUAGCGGGUUCAUGGUAUCUCUUCAGAAACUAUCCUUUUCAUGGUGACAUUGGAGCCAGUUUCUAUUUACAGUGCAGAUAUCUGAAUGAGUACAGACACUAGUCCCAGAAAAGGGUCUAAAGAACACGGUAAGCUUUUCUGGAGUUGGUCUGAAUGAGCUCUUAGAACUGUCAGGGGCUUGGCUGGCAAGGACACAGGGACAACCCAGCAGGCCAUUCCUUCCACACGUUCACAUUGCUGUGAGAGUUAGGGGAACUUGUACUCUUCAUCUCUAAGUCCUACCUCCUACUCUAAAUUUCAUUAGAACAUGAGGCAUGAUGAGGCCAUGUGGGGUGUCAUAACUAACAGGGACAUGGAUUAUCAAGGUAGCAGUUGGCAAACAGCAUUUACUUGAUUGGUUAAACAUGUCAAGCAAUUUUUUUUCUUAGAUUUUGAGAGAUCAGAGCCACAAUUAUGUCUUCAGUUCUGUCUAUAAAGCAGCUACAGAAAUCACUAUAGAUGUGAAUACACACUCACAAGUUGUCACUCCCAAGUGUGGACAGCAAGAUGUAAGAAUGUUUGCAAGAUCCCGGGCAUAGUUAAUUUUCCUUGGUGACUGCUGCACCAAGGAAAGAUUUAAGGAAAAUCAGAAGGUAUAGAGCACCCCUUCCUCUCUUUGUGGCCCUCUUCCCUGACUGAAUUUCAGGAAGCUGCAGGGAUACAGGUUAACUUUGGAGCCUCAGUUCUUCACGUUUGCCGGCGAGUGUUCCUUUAGUGAACAUGGCAGAGGCUCCCACACGGCGGCAAUUCUUCCCUUUGCUGACAUUCUAGCUUGUCUUUAUCUUAUGCAGCUUCCUUCUGUGGAGCAGCACAAUUGCUUCCACAUAUAAAUUAGGAAUGCAAUUUAGCCUCUCUCCAACUGUUAGUAUUCGUCCUUUUCUGUAAGGUCCGUACUCUAGAUGAGACAAUAUUUGAUUUUGUUCAGCUAAUUUAGUGCAUCUUUUCUAGGGCUACUGAGCAGCCAAACUGGAGGAGGGAGAAGAGACACAAUUAUUCUAAGUACUUUUUUAAGCCCCGCAUUUCCUCUUGUUCCCUACUAAGUCUGCAUAUUUUUCUCCAACCGGUUUGCUAUGUUCCAUGUGUGACUUUAAUAAAAUGUUUUCCUUCCAGGAAACAUCUGAGUUAACAAAUAUUCUUUUUUUAACUUCUGGCAGGCUUCAGCCUUAACAUUUAGGUUUCAUAUCAGCUCUGGCUUAGAAUUUUCACUUGACUGUAAGCUAAGCCACAGCUGCUAAUAACUGCUGGGAUUUUAUUAAAAACUGUAAUCAGCAGCAUGACAGCAUGUGGCUUUUGACGAUGAAGAUCGAGAAGGCUCAAAUAUCGUCUUCCCUGUCGGGCUGCUUGCAAGCGGACAUCAGUAACAAGACUUCAUUUGGGUCGGUCGCCACUUUGACGUCAGACAGUCCUUUCGCCCAAGCAGAUGAGCCGACCAACCACAAGAACGAAAAGACCACAGUGACAAUGAAAUCCUUCACAGAGAAAAGACAGGAAAAAACAAACAAACAACAGCUGGAGCAGAAGCUCUUUCACCAUUACCAAGCACAAGUCUAGGACAUGAGAAUGUUGUUAUUUAGGAGAAAGGUCUCCACAGCCAACGAGAUGGCUUAGUGGGAGAAGAAACUUACUACCAAGCUUGAUGAGGAUCUGAAUUGUCUCCAAGAAGUAUUUGGAAGAGACAUUGCAGCCAAGAUGGUCUAUUGUCUAUUGUCUGUGGCUCAUGAGUGGACUCUAAGGAGAGGUGAGGUCUCAGCUGUUCCUGCCAUCCUUCCCUGCAACGAUGGACUGGUAUCCUGGAACCUAAGGCCAAAUAAACUCUUCCUGCUAUGCGGUGCCUAGGACGGGUUACAGUGUGUUAUCACAACGAUAGAAGGUGACUAUCCAGUGCACUGCUGUCAUGUGUGACUAUACAUACAUACUAUACAUUUGUAUACAUUGUAUACAUACUAUACAAAACCAUAAUCUUGCAGAAUAAAGAGUUGCUGAUGUUC